CCCUACGGGGGGCAGCAGUAGGGAAUCUUCCACAAUGGACGAAAGUCUGAUGGAGCAACGCCGCGUGAGUGAAGAAGGGUUUCGGCUCGUAAAGCUCUGUUGGUAGUGAAGAAAGAUAGAGGGAGUAACUGGCCUUUAUUUGACGGUAAUUACUUAGAAAGUCACGGCUAACUACGUGCCAGCAGCCGCGGUAAUACGUAGGUGGCAAGCGUUGUCCGGAUUUAUUGGGCGUAAAGCGAGUGCAGGCGGUUCCAUAAGUCUGAUGUGGAAGCCUUUCGCCCAACCGGGG
This 289-nucleotide ribosomal RNA is filed under the name uncultured bacterium. RNAcentral's name for it is "partial 16S ribosomal RNA". It matches the Rfam family "Bacterial small subunit ribosomal RNA", at positions 337 to 618 of the family's 1533-position model. The record is from RNAcentral.